RNAcentral lists this ribosomal RNA (511 nucleotides) under uncultured bacterium. RNAcentral describes it as "bacterial SSU rRNA". It matches the Rfam family "Bacterial small subunit ribosomal RNA", at positions 29 to 516 of the family's 1533-position model. The record is from RNAcentral.
AAUGAACGCUGGCGGCGUGCCUAACACAUGCAAGUCGAGCGAGAAAGUGGCUUCGGCCAUGAGUACAGCGGCGAACGGGUGAGUAACACGUGGAUAACCUGCCUGGAAGUGGGGGAUAACUCGGGGAAACCUGAGCUAAUACCGCAUACGCCUUCCGGAUCGCGGUCCGGAUUGGAAAGGUUGCCUCUUCUUCGAAAGCUAUCGCUUCCAGAGGGGUCCGCGCCUGAUUAGCUAGUUGGUGAGGUAACGGCUCACCAAGGCGACGAUCAGUAGCCGGCCUGAGAGGGUGAUCGGCCACACUGGAACUGAGACACGGUCCAGACUCCUACGGGAGGCAGCAGUGGGGAAUAUUGCGCAAUGGGGGAAACCCUGACGCAGCAACGCCGCGUGGAGGAUGAAGGCCUUCGGGUCGUAAACUCCUGUCAGGUGGGAAGAAUAGGCGACGGUCAACAACCGGCGCCGUUGACGGUACCACCAGAGGAAGCCCCGGCGUAACUCCGUGCCAGCAGCC